Molecule: ribosomal RNA, 492 nt
Filed under: uncultured bacterium
Lineage: Bacteria
Description: partial 16S ribosomal RNA
Rfam family: Bacterial small subunit ribosomal RNA
Source: RNAcentral
AGUGAACGCUGGCGGUAGGCCUAACACAUGCAAGUCGAACGGCAGCACAGUAAGAGCUUGCUCUUACGGGUGGCGAGUGGCGGACGGGUGAGGAAUACAUCGGAAUCUACUUUUUCGUGGGGGAUAACGUAGGGAAACUUACGCUAAUACCGCAUACGACCUACGGGUGAAAGCAGGGGAUCUUCGGACCUUGCGCGAUUGAAUGAGCCGAUGUCGGAUUAGCUUGUUGGCGGGGUAAAGGCCCACCAAGGCGACGAUCCGUAGCUGGUCUGAGAGGAUGAUCAGCCACACUGGAACUGAGACACGGUCCAGACUCCUACGGGAGGCAGCAGUGGGGAAUAUUGGACAAUGGGCGCAAGCCUGAUCCAGCAAUACCGCGUGGGUGAAGAAGGCCUUCGGGUUGUAAAGCCCUUUUGUUGGGAAAGAAAAGUAGCAGGUUAAUACCCCGCUGUUCUGACGGUACCCAAAGAAUAAGCACCGGCUAACUUCGUG